GGACCAUUAGCUCAGUUGGUUAGAGCAAACGGCUCAUAACCGUUCGGUCACAGGUUCGAGUCCUGUAUGGUCCAUCA
This 77-nucleotide transfer RNA is filed under the name Enterococcus faecalis. RNAcentral's name for it is "tRNA-Met". It matches the Rfam family "tRNA". Rfam says of the family: Transfer RNA (tRNA) molecules are approximately 80 nucleotides in length. Their secondary structure includes four short double-helical elements and three loops (D, anti-codon, and T loops). RNAcentral also lists the same sequence under 1 other name. Lineage: Bacteria; Bacillati; Bacillota; Bacilli; Lactobacillales; Enterococcaceae. The record is from RNAcentral.